Long non-coding RNA from Vulpes vulpes (red fox), 757 nucleotides. The record is from Ensembl. Lineage: Eukaryota; Metazoa; Chordata; Mammalia; Carnivora; Canidae.
AUGUUCAACAAAAAUGUCCUUUUAUACUUCCUAUCAUUGGUGGUUUGGGAAGACGGAAUGCAGCACCAAACAGAGCAGGAGCAAGAAUCAGAACUACUCAGUGCAGAGCAGUUUGGGCUAUUUGUUACUGCCCCAGUUCCUGCAGUGUCUGUCCUCGAGCAGUACUCUACGUCUAUCAGUUCUACUACCUUUGCUCACUUGGAGUCCUUUGGGAGGAAGGGAAACAACGAAACAGCCGUUUCUAGAGCAAAGCCUUGGGCCAACAUUUCCUUGAACUUCUCUUCUCUUCCAAUGGGACUUGGAUGCUGGAGUGGUUGCAUAAUGUCCGGUUCUUCUGGGGCGAGCCUGCCACCUGCACACCCGCCUGCCCGACCCGGUCCCGGUCCCCAAGCAGCCCUGCAGGACACUGAUUCCCUUCCUGACAGAGAAGCCAAGGUGCCUUCCCCUGUUGGGUGCGGAUCCCCACCGAGCAUCCUGUACCCCAAAGCCCAUGUCAGCGUCUGCUUCAGCGAGGCCUGCAGCAACCCCAGACCUUCUUCUGGACUCGCUCAUUCGACCCCUCAUUCAGCAGAUCUGGAUGGAGCCCUAACUGUGUGCAGACACUGCUCUGGGCCAUUGAAAUCUGGCUGCGGGAUGCCUGGGUGGCUCAGUGGUUGAGCACCUGCCUUCAGUCCAGGGUGUGAUCCGGGGUCCUGGGAUCCAGUCCCACAUCGGGCUCCCUGAAUGGAGCCUGCUUCUCCCUCUGCCUGUGUCUCUG